UGGAAGCGUCUGGAAAGGCGCGCGAUACAGGGUGACAGCCCCGUACACAAAAAUGCACAUGCUGUGAGCUCGAUGAGUAGGGCGGGACACGUGGUAUCCUGUCUGAAUAUGGGGGGACCAUCCUCCAAGGCUAAAUACUCCUGACUGACCGAUAGUGAACCAGUACCGUGAGGGAAAGGCGAAAAGAACCCCGGCGAGGGGAGUGAAAAAGAACCUGAAACCGUGUACGUACAAGCAGUGGGAGCACAGAGCAAUCUGUGUGACUGCGUACCUUUUGUAUAAUGGGUCAGCGACUUAUAUUCUGUAGCAAGGUUAACCGAAUAGGGGAGCCGAAGGGAAACCGAGUCUUAACCGGGCGUUAAGUUGCAGGGUAUAGACCCGAAACCCGGUGAUCUAGCCAUGGGCAGGUUGAAGGUUGGGUAACACUAACUGGAGGACCGAACCGACUAAUGUUGAAAAAUUAGCGGAUGACUUGUGGCUGGGGGUGAAAGGCCAAUCAAACCGGGAGAUAGCUGGUUCUCCCCGAAAGCUAUUUAGGUAGCGCCUCGUGAAUUCAUCUCCGGGGGUAGAGCACUGUUUCGGCAAGGGGGUCAUCCCGACUUACCAACCCGAUGCAAACUGCGAAUACCGGAGAAUGUUAUCACGGGAGACACACGGCGGGUGCUAACGUCCGUCGUGAAGAGGGAAACAACCCAGACCGCCAGCUAAGGUCCCAAAGUCAUGGUUAAGUGGGAAACGAUGUGGGAAGGCCCAGACAGCCAGGAUGUUGGCUUAGAAGCAGCCAUCAUUUAAAGAAAGCGUAAUAGCUCACUGGUCGAGUCGGCCUGCGCGGAAGAUGUAACGGGGCUAAACCAUGCACCGAAGCUGCGGCAGCGACACUGUGUGUUGUUGGGUAGGGGAGCGU
Molecule: ribosomal RNA, 904 nt
Filed under: Escherichia coli
Lineage: Bacteria; Pseudomonadati; Pseudomonadota; Gammaproteobacteria; Enterobacterales; Enterobacteriaceae
Description: partial 23S ribosomal RNA
Rfam family: Bacterial large subunit ribosomal RNA
Source: RNAcentral